UAAGGAAUAUUGGUCAAUGGACGCAAGUCUGAACCAGCCAUGCCGCGUGAAGGAUGAAGGUCCUCUGGAUUGUAAACUUCUUUUAUCUGGGACGAAAACGGGAUUUUUAUCUCAAUUGACGGUACCAGAGGAAUAAGCACCGGCUAACUCCGUGCCAGCAGCCGCGGUAAUACGGAGGGUGCGAGCGUUAUCCGGAUUUACUGGGUUUAAAGGGUGCGUAGGUGGGCUUAUAAGUCAGUGGUGAAAUCUCCGAGCUUAACUUGGAAACUGCCGUUGAUACUAUAGGUCUUGAAUUAUCUGGAGGUUAGCGGAAUAUGUCAUGUAGCGGUGAAAUGCUUAGAUAUGACAUAGAACACCAAUUGUGAAGGCAGCUUACUACAUAUAAAUUGACGCUGAGGCACGAAAGCGUGGGGAUCAAACA
This 421-nucleotide ribosomal RNA is filed under the name uncultured bacterium. RNAcentral describes it as "bacterial SSU rRNA". It matches the Rfam family "Bacterial small subunit ribosomal RNA", at positions 355 to 774 of the family's 1533-position model. The record is from RNAcentral.